Molecule: long non-coding RNA, 1356 nt
Organism: Onychostoma macrolepis
Lineage: Eukaryota; Metazoa; Chordata; Actinopteri; Cypriniformes; Cyprinidae
Exons: 5
Source: RefSeq, a predicted model, not a curated record
CAAUGCUAUUUGCUGUCGCGCAGUGUUGCUUUGAGCUGAUUGGUUAAGCUGACUGUCACUCAGGAAUCUGGCCAAUGACUAGCGAGCGCGCCGUUUUCCCGCUCAAAUUUGAAUAUACACUGACAGUCCCGGCAGACAUGCCCGGCUUCUGCAGUCUGCUGCGGUCGCUCCUCUAGUAAUGGCUUUUAUAUGUAUUAUCUGAGUGUUAAAUUCAUAUUUUGUGUGAGUUUGUGUUGUGGGAUGACGAUUGAGAACGAAUAAACGCGAAUAUGGACACUUCUACCAGCAGCUAACAGACAAGCAAACUGCAAAAGAGAGGACAUGAACGCAUGAUCCUUGGACUCCUUGGAGAAGAAUACUGUAUGCAAAACAGGAUUUUGGAUCAGCUGUGAAGAUUUUGGAUGGAGCUGAAGUUUUGGAAAUGGAAAUCUUCUACCAUAUGAUCUUCAGAGGAACUAAUCCAGCUGAGUACUGGCGAUUUGGAGGAGGACUGCUCUUUAUCUGCUGUGUCUGUCACUUCUGGCCAUGGACCUUUUGUUAUGCUGGUGAAAAAACCGCCAGGCUAAAGCAUUCAAAGUGGAAACUUCUGAUGUGGCUCAGUAAUCCAGGAUUGGGGUGGUGGAAGGAGCAGAAGAACCAGAAGAUCAGAGAUCAGGCAGAGAUCUACUGGUGCGCCUGAGGGAACCGAUUUACUUAAUGUCUUAGUUAAACCAAAAAUUCUCAUCACUCACCUCCAUGUCGUUUUUUUACUAUAACCAACAAAGGCUUUUGUUCAUCUUUGAAACAUAAAUGUCUUUUUAAUGAAAUCUGAGAAAUUUCUGCCCCUCCAUUUCACAGUUUAUGCAACUACCACUUUCAAGCCUCAGAAAGGUAAUAAAUACAUCAUUAAAGUAAACCCAUGUGACUCCAGUUGUUUAACCUCAAUUUAUGAAGUGAUGUGAAUGUUUUGUGUGCACAAAAAACAUUGCAUUUUUAUUUACAAAAUAACAUGUUCACGAGAGCACCAUCAUGCAUCACUGUUGCGUUGGCGUGAGAGCCGGCCAUCUCAUGGUGCUUUUGUAAAAAAAUGCUUUGGAGAUACAUCAUUUGUGAAUAAAGACAUACUAUUUUUGUUAUUGCUGUUUUUUUGCGUACACAUGGCAUCUGUUAAAAAUAUCUUCAUUUGUGUUCUGCACAAAAGGGUCUUAUGGGUUUGGAGCGACAUGAGGGCAAGUAAUUAAUGACAGAAUUUACAUUUUUGGGUGAAAUAUGUUCUAAUGUGGUUAUAAUUGGUCAUUGUUAUGUUUUAUAAACAUUUUCAAUAUUUUAAAGAUUUAUUGUUUUGAAAAAUGAUGUUUAUACAGUCUACUUUAAGUA